Bos taurus (domestic cattle) is the source of this 405-nucleotide long non-coding RNA. NCBI's taxonomy places the organism in Eukaryota, Metazoa, Chordata, Mammalia, Artiodactyla, Bovidae. The record is from Ensembl.
AGGCUACUUUCCAAUGGUACAGCCUAGAUCUGUAUGGUACUGGAAGAGAAAGCAAGUGUGUCUUGAUAGGUUGAUACACAGCCCCUGUUUGAGUUUCCCGAGCCAUACAGCAAAUUCCUGUUGGCCAUCUAUUCCAUAUGGCAAUGGGACACAGGUUUGAUCCCUGGUCCGGGAAGAUUCCACAUGCCAUGGGACAACGAAGCCCAUGUGCCACAACUGCUGAGCCCUGGCACUCUAGAGCCACGCUCCCCAGCAAGAGAAGCCCAUGCGCCACAACUGCUGAGCCCUGGCACUCUAGAGCCAUGCUCCCCAACAAGAGAAGCCACACCAAUGAGAAGUCCACGCGCCACAACUAGAGAGGAGCCCCAGCUCUCGGCAACUGGAGGAAGUCCACUGGAGCAACAA